UUCCUGGUGGUCCAGCAGCUAAGACUCUGCACCCCCAAUGCAGGGGGUCCAGGUUUGAUUCCUGGUCAGGGAA
Molecule: transfer RNA, 73 nt
Filed under: Bos taurus (domestic cattle)
Lineage: Eukaryota; Metazoa; Chordata; Mammalia; Artiodactyla; Bovidae
Also listed under: 3 other names
Rfam family: tRNA
About the family: Transfer RNA (tRNA) molecules are approximately 80 nucleotides in length. Their secondary structure includes four short double-helical elements and three loops (D, anti-codon, and T loops).
Source: Rfam by way of RNAcentral